GUGACUUAAAGUUUGAAAUAAAUGUUUUCUUACGGCUAUCCUGAAUAUUUCCCUUAGCCAGGAACGGGCGUUGAUGGUGACAUUGCUAGCAAGCGGUGUGCAGUGUUGGCCAUUGUGGCUCUGGGGUGGUGGGUGGGGGGAGGGGCUCCUAACGUUCUAUGUUACAGGACCCCAGCAGUGGUGCCUAGCGCAGACGUCUCUGUUCAACUCCACGCAACUUCCUCAGUGCAACUCCACGUUACCUCGGUGCAACUUUACGUAACCUCAACACCUUCACGCAACCUUGCUCCAACUCCUCGCAACUUCAGUGCAACUCCACACGUUCUCUGUGCACUUCCCAAGCAACCUCGCGACAUCGUACAAGGGGACAGCAAGAGGGAAGGAAGCGCAAAUUGCUCCUCUAUCAUCGGCCAUUCCAGGCAGUUAACGGGACCCGGUAACACCGUAAAUACUUUGACAUUCACAUUUGCCUUGCUGCUACUGCUGCUACAGGCCUUGUGUUUGUAUCAGGGGGAGUGGGGGGGGGGGGUCUCUAACGUUCUGUCUUCCAGAUUCCUCUCCCUGGUCUACUCUCGCUCAAACAUCAAUCAAUUCCUUACUGGAACUCCACACAGCCUCGGUGCUACUCAACGCAACCUUGAUGCAACUCCAACACCGUCCAUCGGGAAGUGUCAAUGUCUCUUGCUACCCACAGUAGUAACAUUACUAUGCAAUGGUCAUGAGCAGUGCCGCUAGGUAGCCACGAGUGUGAACACGGAGGUUGUGUUUAUCAUUGUCAAGUCUCAGCAGGUGGUGGUGGUGGUGAAUCGGAAACGCAAGUUGAUGCACAGAGCAAGCAGCCGCACUGCUGUACAACACCAACCCAGCCCUGGGUGGAAGGCGGGAGAAGCCGUACGGCCUUUACCAUCCACCAGGGAGUCAAUGACUCUUGUACUUCCCACACGGCAACAUUAUUUAUCAAUGGCAGUGAGCCUUGGCUGUGUAGCCCACACGUGGACAUACGGAGGUCGUGUUUAUCGUUGUCAAGGCUGAGCGGGUGAUGGUGGCGAUGGGCGGUAUGGGAGAAACGCAACCCCCUACCGCUGUUACAACCCAGUCCUGGACAGGAGAGGCCAGAGACGACCAACAGCGUCCAUCAGGGAGUGUCAAUGUCUCUCGCUACCCACAGCAGCAGCAUUCGUUAUUAUCAAUGGCAAUGAUCCGUGCUCUGUAGCCACGCGUGAGCAUCAUGGAGGUUGUGUUUUAUUAUUGUUAAGGCUGAGCGGGUGGUGGUGAUGGGGAAUCAGACACGCUGGCAUCCGUUCCUGCCACCCCCAACUUUGAGAAAGAUGUCUGGGCGAGUUCUCAACCCAGGUAACCGUGCGAGUCUCCGGCCCGAUCCUCGGCCUUCUCACCAAACGAUCGAUUAGUUUUCGUAAUUGGAAACGCGGGGAAAUGUUGUCAGGAGGACGUUGUGAAAGUUUCAAUGGAGGCAAAACUUGAAACCUUUAUUUGCAAAUGACCACAGCAUGAAGUUUCCUUAAUGUGACCUGAAGAUUGAAAUUAAUGUUUUCUUACGGCUGUCCCGAAUAGUUGUGUAAGCCAGAAAAGGGCGUUGAUGGUGACAUUGCUAGCGAGCGGUGUGCAGUGUUGGUCAUUGUGGCUCUGGGGUGGUGGGUGGGGGGAGGGGCUCCUAACGUUCUGUGUUACAGGACCCCAGCAUUUGUGCCUAGCGCAGACGUCUUUGUUCAACUCUACGCAACUUCCUCAGUGCAACUCCACACGGCCUCAGUUGCAAUUCCUCCACACAACCUCGUUGCAACUCCACGUUACCUCGGUGCAACUUUACGUAACUUCAGAACACCUUCACGCAGCCUUGCUCUCCAAACUUCUCGCAACUUCAGUGCAACUUCAGUGCAACUCCACGCUUUCUCUGUGCAACUCCCAAGCAACCUCGUGACAUCGUACAAGGGGACAGCAAGAGGGAAGGAAUCGCAAAAAGCUCCUCUAUCAUCGGCCAUUCCAGGCAGUUAACGGGACCCGGUAACACCGUAAAUACUUUGACAUUCACAUUUGCCUUGCUGCUACUGCUACUACAGGCCUUGUGUUUGUAUCAGGGGGAGUGGGGCGGGGGGUCUCUAACGUUUUGUCUUCCAGAAUCCUCUCCCUGGUCUACUCUCGCUCAAACAUCAAACAUCUCGGUACAGCUCCAAACCAAGGAAGCCCCAACGGGGCAGAGAUCCCAGGCAGUGACGGGACAGGGAGCCAGGUCUGCGUCUUUGAUGUCUCGGUUCAACUCCACGCGGCUUCGUGUUGUUGCAAGCGGAGUGGAGGGCGUGCAGAUGUCUGGGGCGUCGUCGGGAGAAUCCAGACCGUUAACGGGACACCUGGUAAAGUUAAAACGCCGUUGCCUUUCGAAUUAUCAACGACGACUACGGGCUUUGCUUUUGUAUCGGAGUUGCGGGGGGGGGGGGGGGGGGUCUUAACGUUUUAUUUUCCAGAAUCCCUCGCUUCUGCGUCCUCGCAAUGCCAGCAAAGAGGGGGAAGAGAGAUCAUCGGUGAAUCCAGGCAGUGGCAAGAGCUAAAGUCUGAUUUACACAGACGUCUCUCUCGCUUCGAGCUCCACACAAACCCUCUCGUGCGUCCCGUGAAGGAAGUGCGGAUGUCUGGGGCGUCGUCGGGAAAACCCAGGCAGUUAACGGACCUCCUGGUAAAAGCGCAGCUCCUGGGCCAUCCGUUGCUUUCAAGUUUGUUGACUGUGGCAGUUGGGGGAGGGGGGGGGGGUUCCUUUAACGCUGCAACCUGCAGACUCCUCCACCCGGCUACUCGCGGAGGAGGAGGAGGCCCAAGGUCUGCGUCCGUCGGCGAUUCCAGGCGGUUGUACCGGUACCUGGCGACACCACAAAUACUUUGGCGCCUGUUUUAAUUGGCCUAGCUACUACCGUAGUUGUGUUUGUAUCGGCAGUAGGAGGCGGCGGGGGGGGGGUACUCUAACGUUCUGUCUUCCAGAAUCCUCCCCGGGUCUACUCUCCUACUCGCUUUGAACAUCUCAACAUCUCGAUAGAGCUCCAAACCAAGGAAGCCCCAUGGGGUAGAGAUCCCAAGCAGUGACGGGACAGGGAGCCAGGUCUGCGUCUUUGAUGUCUCGGUUCAAGUGCAGAGGAAGGAAGUGCAAACGGUCGAAUCGGCGGUGGAUACGGGCAGUUAGCGGACCUCCUGGUAACACCGCAACUCCUUUGGCCGUGCGUUUGAAUUUGCCUCGCUGCUGCUACUACAGGAUUUAUUUGUAUCGGGGAGGGGGGAGGGGCUCCUAACGUUCUGUGUUACAGGACCCCACAGUUGUGCCUAGCGCAGACGUCUCUGCAAUUCCUUACUGGAACUCCACACAGCCUCGGUGCUACUCAACGCAACUUUGAUGCAACUCCAACACCGUCCAUCAGGGAGUGUCAAUGUCUCUUGCUACCCACAGCAGCAACAUUAUUACUAUGCAAUGGUCAUGAGCAGUGCUGCUAGGUAGCCACGAGUGUGAACACGGAGGUCGUGUUUAUCAUUGUCAAGGCUGAGCGGGUGAUGGUGGCGAUGGGCGGAAUGGGAGAAACGCAACCCCCUACCGCUGUUACAACCCAGUCCUGGACAGGAGAGGCCAGAGACGACCAACAGCGUCCGACAUCAGGGAGUGUCAAUGUCUCGCUACCCACAGCAGCAGCAUUCGUUAUUAUCAAUGGCAAUGAGCCGUGCUGUGUAGCCACGCGUGAGCAUCAUGGAGGUUGUGUUUUAUUGUCAAGGCUGAGCGGGUGGUGGUGGUGGUGAUGGGGAAUCGGACACGCUGGCAUCCGUUCCUGCCCCCCCAACUUUGAGAAAGAUGUCUGGGCGAGUUCUCAACCCAGGUAACCGUGCGAGUCUCCGGCCCGAUCCUCGGCCUUGCUCACCAAACGAGCGAUGUGGAUGUUUUACUUGAACACCAGAGGAACAUUAAAUUCUCCCAAACGCAGCUGUCGGCAGUGGCUGAGCUCGCUUGCCAUCAAGGAGAUUCAAUUGAUUUUGAUAACGUUGAAGUGUUACACGGAACUAAUUAUUACUGGCCAAGAUUAGUUGGAGAAUAACAGACUCGGCGCAGCCUGGAAGCGUCUUAAAUCUCGACCUUGAAGCUUUCGUGACUGCAGGAAUUAAUAUUCUUUGGGUCAUUUGGUAAAGCCACGUGACUUUGCCGAAAGACCCAAAGAAUAUGGAAGCGUAUAAUUAAGUAAUACACAAUACACUUUGCAAUUGCUUACAGGUCAGUGACAUGCUAAGUUGCUGAUUACUGAUCUAUAACUUGAUUGCAUAUACCCCCGCCUCUGAUCUCGAAUCCUGAUGGGGUUCAACAACGAUGACAUGGUCAUCCUGCGCUAUUUAAGACCAGAAGCAAGUGGGUGGUUUCACUAUUCUGGCAAAUUUGCCCGAAGGCGCCGGAUGUGAUUUGCAGUGAAACGUCACGCUAACCAGGUUGUCAAUGUUGUGGAUCCACUCUGCAACAUACCGGCGGGCUAAAGUGGUGAACUAUUUUGUCUCUUGUCAACGUGACACAUUUUUUUACUGAUUGGCCGUGUCGGGUGGUGGAGGGUUGCGACACAUUUAUAAAUAACGCGAUCUGACACAAACACCUUCACCGUGAGUCAUCGUGGUCGCGAAAGCGUGCGACGUGUUAGACCGAGGUUUGAUAAAUUGAACUUUUGGCGUUCAUAAUUGAACACGCGGGGAAAAGUUGUCGGCAGGACUUUGAAAGUUUUAAUCGAGGCAAAACUUGAAACCUUUAUUUGCAAAUGAACACAGCAUGAAGUUUACGUCAUGUGAGCUGAAGAUUGAAAUCAAUGUUUUCUUUGGACUAUCCUGAAUAUUUCCCUAAGCCAGGAAAGGGCGUUGAUGGUGACAUUGCUAGCGAGCGGUGUGCAGUGUUGGCCAUUGUGGCUCUGGGGUGGUGGGUGGGGGGGGGGGUGCUCCUAACGUUCUAUGUUACAGGACCCCAGCAGUUGUGCCUAGCGCAGACGUCUCUGUUCAACUCCACACAACUUCCUCAGUAGCAACUCCACACUGCCUCAGUGCAACUCCUCCACACAACCUCGGUGCAACUCCACGUUACCUCGGUGCAACUCUACGUAACCUCAGAACACCUUCACGUAACCUUGCUCCAACUCCUCACAACUUCAGUGCAACUCCACACGUUCUCUGUGCAACUCCCAAGCAACCUCGCGACAUCGUACAAGGGGACAGCAAGAGGGAAGGAAGCGCAAAUUGCUCCUCUCAUCGGCCAUUCCAGGCAGUUAACAGGACCCGGUAACACCGUAAAUACUUUGACAUUCACAUUUGCCUUGCUACUACUACUACUACAGGCCUUGUGUUUGUAUCAGGGGGAGUGGGGGGGGGGGUCUCUAACGUUCUGUCUUCCAGAAUCCUCUCCCUGGUCUACUCUCGCUCAAACAUCAAACAUCUCGGUACAGCUCCAAACCAAGGAAGCCUCAACGGGGCAGAGAUCCCAGGCAGUGACAGGACAGGGAGCCAGGUCUGCGUCUUUGAUGUCUCGGUUCAAGUGCAGAGGAAGGAAGUGCAAACGGUCGAAUCGGCGGUGGAUACGGGCAGUUAGCGGACCUCCUGGUAACACUGCAACUCCUUUGGCCGUGCGUUUGAAUUUGCCUCGCUGCUGCUACUACUACAGGAUUUGUUUGUAUCGGGGAGGGGCUCCUAACGUUCUGUGUUACAGGAUCCCAGCAGUUGUGCCUAGCGCAGACGUCUCUGUUCAACUCCACGCAAUUCCUUACUGGAACUCCACACAGCCUCGGUGCUACUCAACGCCACCAGGGAGUGUCCAAUGUCUCUUGCUACCCACAGCAGCAACAUUAUUACUAUGCAAUGGUCAUGAGCAGUGCUGCUAGGUAGCCACGAGUGUGAACACGGAGGUCGUGUUUAUCGUUGUCAAGGCUGAGCGGGUGAUGGUGACGAUGGGCGGAAUGGGAGAAACGCCAACCCCCUACCGCUGUUACAACCCAGUCCUGGACAGGAGAGGCCAGGGACGACCAACAGCGUCCAUCAGGGAGUGUCAAUGUCUCUCGCUACCCACAGCAGCAGCAUUCUUUAUUAUCAAUGGCAAUGAGCCGUACUCUGUAGCCACGCGUGAGCAUCAUGGAGGUUGUGUUUUAUUAUUGUCAAGGCUGAGCGGGUGGUGGUGGUGAUGGGGAAUCGGACACGCUGGUAACCGUGCGAGUCUCCGGCCCGAUCCUCGGCCUUGCUCACCAAACGAGCGAUGUGGAUGUCUAUUUGAGGUUUGUUGACGUUUUGGUUUUCGAAAUUGGCCACGCGGGGAAAAGUUGUCGGUAGGACUUUGAAAGUUUUAAUGGAGGCAAAACUUGAAACCUUUAUUUGCAAAUGACCACAGCGUGAAGUUUACGUAAUGUGACCUGAAGAUUGAAAUCAAUGUUUUCUUACGGCUAUCCUGAAUAUUUCCCUAAGCCAGGAAAGGGCGUUGAUGGUGACAUUGCUAGCGAGCGGUGUGCAGUGUUGGCCAUUGUGGCUCUGGUGGGUGGGGGGAGGGGCUCCUAACGUUCUAUGUUACAGGACCCCAGCAGUUGUGCCUAGCGCAGACGUCUCUGUUCAACUCCACGCAACUUCCUCAGUUGCAACUCCACACGGCCUCAGUGCAACUCCACGCGUUCUCUGUGCAACUCCCAAGCAACCUCGCGACAUCGUACAAGGGGACAGCAAGAGGGAAGGAAGCGCAAAUUGCUCCUCUAUCAUCGGCCAUUCCAGGCAGUUAACGGGACCCGGUAACACCGUAAAUACUUUGACAUUCACAUUUGCCUUGCUGCUACUACUGCUACAGGCCUUGUGUUUGUAUCAGGGGGAGUGGGGGGGGGGGUCUCUAACGUUCUGUCUUCCAGAAUCCUCUCCCUGGUCUACUCUCGCUCAAACAUCAAACAUCUCGGUACAGCUCCAAACCAAGGAAGCCCCAACGGGGCAGAGAUCCCAGGCAGUGACUUGACAGGGAACCAGGUCUGCGUCUUUGAUGUCUCGGUUCAAGUGCAGAGGAAGGAAGUGCAAACGGUCGAAUCGGCGGUGGAUACGGGCAGUUAGCAGACCUCCUGGUAACACCGCAACUCCUUUGAAUUUGCCUCGCUGCUGCUACUACAGGAUUUGUUUGUAUCGGGGAUGGGGGAGGGGCUCCUAACGUUCUGUGUUACAGGACCCCAGCAGUUGUGCCUAGCGCAGACGUUUCUGUUCAACUCCAUGCAAUUCCUUACUGGCACUCCACACAGCCUCGGUGCUAUUCAACGCAACCUUGAUGCAACGUCAACACCGCCCAUCAGGGAGUGUCAAUGUCCCUUGCUACCCACAGCGGCAACAUUAUUACUAUGAAAUGGUCAUGAGCAGUGCUGCUAGGUAGCCACGAGUGUGAACACGGAGGUUGUGUUUAUCGUUGUCAAGGCUGAGCGGGUGAUGGUGGCGAUGGGCGGAAUGGGAGAAACGCAACCCCCUACCGCUGUUACAACCCAGUCCUGGACAGGAGAGGCCAGAGACGACCAACAGCGUCCAUCAGGGAGUGUCAAUUUCUCUCGCUACCCACAGCAGCAGCAUUCUUUAUUAUCAAUGGCAAUGAGCCGUGCUGUGUAGCCACGCGUGAGCAUCAUGGAGGUUGUGUUUUAUUAUUGUCAAGGCUGAGCGGGUGGUGGUGAUGGGGAAUCGGACACGCUGGGAUCCGUUCCUGCCACCCCCAACUUUGAGAAAGAUGUCUGAGCGAGUUCUCAUCCCAGGUAACUGUGCGAGUCUCCAUCCUGAUCCUCGGCCUUGCUCACAAAACGAGCGAUGUGGAUGUCUAUUUGAGGUUCGUUGACGUUUUGGUUUAUGUAAUUGGCCACGCGGGGAAAAGUUGUCGGCAAAACUGUUUAAGUUUUAAACGUGGCAUGAUCUGAAACCUCAUUAGUAAAGAACCACAACGUUAAGUUUAUGUAAUGUGACCUGAAGAUUGGAAUUAAUGUUUUCUUAUGGCUGUCCUGAAUAGUUGCGUAACCAGGAAAGGGCGUUGAUGGUGACAUUGCUAUCAAGCGGUGUGCAGUGUUGGCCUAUGGGGUGGUGGGUGGGGGGAGGGGCUCCUAACGUUCUGUUACAGGACCCCAGCAGUUGUGCCUAGCGCAGACGUCUCUGUUCAACUCUGCAACUUCCUCGGUGCAACGCCACACGGUCUCCGCAACUCCACACAACCUCGCUGCAACUCCACACAAACUCGGUCAAACUCUGCGUAACCUCAGAACAAUUUCACUCAACCUUGCUCCAACUCCUCGCAACUUCAGUGCAACUCCACGCGUUCUCUGCAACUCCCAAGCAACCUCGCGACAUCGUACAAAGGGACAGCAAGAGGGAAGGAAGCGCAAAUUGCUCCUCUAUCAUCGGCCAUUCCAGGCAGUUAAUGGGACCCGGUAACACCGUAAAUGCUUUGACAUUCACAUUUACCUUACUGCUAAUACUACUACAGGCCUUGUGUUUGUAUCAGGGGGAGUGGGGGGGGGUCUCUAACGUUCUGUCUUCCAGAAUCCUCUCCCUGGUCUACUCUCGCUCAAACAUCAAACAUCUCGGUACAGCUCCAAACCAAGGAAGCCCCAACGGGGCAGAGAUCCCAGGCAGUGACGGGACAGGGAGCCAGGUCUGCGUCUUUGAUGUCUCGGUUCAACUCCACGCGGCUUCGUGUUGUUGCAAGCGGAGUGGAGGGCGUGCAGAUGUCUGGGGCGUCGUCGGGAGAAUCCAGACUGUUAACGGGACACCUGGUAAAGUUAAAACGCCGUUGCCAUUCGCAUUAUCAACGACUACUUCAGGCUUUGCGUUCGUUUCGGAGUUGGUGGGGGGGGUCUUAACACCGUGUCUUCCAGAAUCCCUCGCGUCUCCUGCGUCCUCACGACGCCAGCAAAAAGGGGGAAGAGAGAUCAUCGGUGAAUCCAGGCAGUGGCAAGAACUCAAGUCUGAUUUACACAGACGUCUCUAUCGCUUCGAGCUCCACACAAACCCUCUCGUGCGUCCCGUGAAGGAAGUGCGGAUGUCUGGGGCGUCGUCGGGAAAACCCAGGCAGUUAACGGACCUCCUGGUAAAACCGCAGCUCCUGGGCCAUCCGUUGCUUUCAAGUUUGUUGACUGUGGCAGUUGGGGGAGGGGGGGGUUCCUUUAACGCUGCAACCUGCAGACUCCUCCACCAGUCUACUCGCGGAGGAGGAGGAGGCCCAAGGUCUGCGUCCGUCGGCGAUUCCAGGCGGUUGUACCGGUACCUGGCGACACCACAAAUACUUUGGCGUCUGUUUUAAUUGGCCUAGCUCAGGGGUGGGCAAGUUUUUUAACUCACGGGUCACAAUGGGUUCUAGAAUUUGACCGAGGGACAGGGCCAGGAACAGAUGGAUCGAGUGUUUGUGUUACCUAAUAUAAAUGACGUGUAAAAAUCAUUACAUGAAAGGAUUUGGCCUUUUAACAGGUUAGCAAAGCAUUAAUUUGCAAAGGAAUUUAACAAAUUGCACGAACAUGAACAACACAAACAUGUCGUAACGUGACUGAUCAAACAUCAUGAAAACAACGCCAUGUAAUGGGGAAAUGGCGGCAUUACAGGAGAAAGGUAAAAUUUAAUUUAAUAAUCAUAUUUGGACAAGUUCGACGGACCGGAUUUAAAAGCCCAACGGGCCGUACUUUGCCCAUGCCUGGCCUAGCUACUACCAGAGUUGUGUUUGUAUCGGCAGUAGGCGGGGGGGGGGGUACUCUAACGUUCUGUCUUCCAGAAUCCUCCCCGGGUCUACUCUCCUACUCGCUUUGAACAUCAUCUCAACAUCUCGGUACAGCUCCAAACCAAGGAAGCCCCAGCGGGGCAGAGAUCCCAGGCAGUGACAGGACAGGGAGCCAGGUCUGCGUCUUUGAUGUCUCGGUUCAAGUGCAGAGGAAGGAAGUGCAAACGGUGGAAUCGGCGGUGGAUACGGGCAGUUAGCGGACCUCCUGGUAACACCGCAACUCCUUUGAAUUUGCCUCGCUCCUGCUACUACUACAGGAUUUGUUUGUAUCGGGGAGGGGGGAGGGGCUCCUAACGUUCUGUGUUACAGGACCCCAGCAGUUGUGCCUAGCGCAGACGUCUCUGUUAACCUCCACGCAAUUCCUUACUGGAACUCCACACAGCCUCGGUGCCACUCAACGCAACCUUGAUGCAACGUCAACACCGUCCAUCAGGGAGUGUCAUUGUCUCUUGCUACCCACAGCAACAUUAUUAUUAUUAUUAUGCAAUGGUCAUGAGCAGUGCUGCUUGGUAGCCACGAGUGUGAACACGGAGGUUGUAUUUAUCAUUGUCAAGGCUGAGCGGGUGAUGGUGACGAUGGGCGGAAUGGGAGAAACGCAACCCCCUACCGCUGUUACAACCCAGUCCUGGACAGGAGAGGCCAGAGACGACCAUCAGCGUCGAUCAGGGAGUGUCAAUGUCUCUCGCUACCCACAGGAGCAGCAUUCUUUAUUAUCAAUGGCAAUGAGCCGUGCUCUGUAGCCACGCGUGAGCAUCACGGAGGUUGUGUUUUAUUAUUGUCAUGGCUGAGCGGGUGGUGGUGGUUGUGAUGAGGAAUCGGACACGCUGGCAUCCGUUCCUGCAACCCCAACUUUGGGAAUGAUGUCUCUGGGCGAGUUCUCAACCCAGGACCCCAGCAGUUGUGCCUAGCGCAGACGUCUUUGUUCAACUCCACGCAACUUCCUCAGUGCAACUCCACACGGCCUCAGUGCAACUCCUCCACACAACCUCGGUGCAACUCUACGUAACCUCAGAACACCUUCACGCAACCUUGCUCCAACUCCUCGCAACUUCAGUGCAACUCCACACGUUCUCUGUGCAACUCCCAAGCAACCUCGCGACAUCGUACAAGGGGACAGCAAGAGGGAAGGAAGCGCAAAUUGCUCCUCUAUCAUCGGCCAUUCCAGGCAGUUAACGGGACCCGGUAACACCGUAAAUACUUUGACAUUCACAUUUGCCUUGCUACUACUGCUACAGGAAUUGUGUUUGUAUCAGGGGGGAGUGGGGGGGGGGUCUCUAACGUUCUGUCUUCCAGAAUCCUCUCCCUGGUCUACUCUCGCUCAAACAUCAAACAUCUCGGUACAGCUCCAAACCAAGGAAGCCCCAACGGGGCAGAGAUCCCAGGCAGUGACGGGACAGGGAGCCAGGUCUGCGUCUCGAUGUCUCGGUUCAAGUGCAGAGGAAGGAAGUGCAAACGGUCGAAUCGGCGAUGGAUACGGGCAGUUAGCGGACCUCCUGGUAACACCGCAACUCCUUUGGCCGUGCGUUUGAAUUUGCCUCGCUGCUGCUACUACUACAGGAUUUGUUUGUAUCGGGGAGGGGGGAGGGGCUGCUAACGUUCUGUGUUACAGGACCCCAGCAGUUGUGCCUAGCGCAAACGUCUCUGUUCAACUCUACGCAAUUCCUUACUGGAACUCCACACAGCCUCGGUGCUACUCAACGCCACCAGGGAGUGUCCAAUGUCUCUUGCUACCCACAGCAGCAACAUUAUUACUAUGCAAUGGUCAUGAGCAGUGCUGCUAGGUAGCCACGAGUGUGAACACGGAGGUCGUGUUUAUCGUUGUCAAGGCUGAGCGGGUGAUGGUGACGAUGGGCGGAAUGGGAGAAACGCAACCCCCUACCGCUGUUACAACCCAGUCCUGGACAGGAGAGGCCAGGGACGACCAACAGCGUCCAUCAGGGAGUGUCAAUGUCUCUCGCUACCCACAGCAGCAGCAUUCUUUAUUAUCAAUGGCAAUGAGCCGUGCUCUGUAGCCACGCGUGAGCAUCAUGGAGGUUGUGUUUUAUUAUUGUCAAGGCUGAGCGGGUGGUGGUGGUGAUGGGGAAUCGGACACGCUGGCAUCCGUUCCUGCCACCCCCAACUUUGAGAAAGAUGUCUGGGCGAGUUCUCAACCCAGGUAACCGUGCGAGUCUCCGGCCCGAUCCUCGGCCUUGCUCACCAAACGAGCGAUGUGGAUGUCUAUUUGAGGUUUGUUGACGUUUUGGUUUUCGAAAUUGGCCACGCGGGGAAAAGUUGUCGGUAGGACUUUGUGAAAGUUUUAAUGGAGGCAAAACUUGAAACCUUUAUUUGCAAAUGACCACAGCGUGAAGUUUACGUAAUGUGACCUGAAGAUUGAAAUCAAUGUUUUCUUACGGCUUUUCUGAAUAUUUCCCUAAGCCAGGAAAGGGCGUUGAUGGUGACAUUGCUAGCGAGCGGUGUGCAGUGUUGGCCAUUGUGGCUCUGGUGGGUGGGGGGAGGGGCUCCUAACGUUCUAUGUUACAGGACCCCAGCAGUUGUGCCUAGCGCAGACGUCUCUGGUCAACUCCACGCAACUUCCUCAGUUGCAACUCCACACGGCCUCAGUGCAACUCCACGCGUUCUCUGUGCAACUCCCAAGCAACCUCGCGACAUCGUACAAGGGGACAGCAAGAGGGAAGGAAGCGCAAAUUGCUCCUCUAUCAUCGGCCAUUCCAGGCAGUUAACGGGACCCGGUAACACCGUAAAUACUUUGACAUUCACAUUUGCCUUGCUACUGCUACUACUACUACAGGCCUUGUGUUUGUAUCAGGGGGAGUGGGGGGGGGGUCUCUAACGUUCUGUCUUCCAGAAUCCUCUCCCUGGUCUACUCUCGCUCAAACAUCAAACAUCUCGGUACAGCUCCAAACCAAGGAAGCCCCAACGGGGCAGAGAUCCCAGACAGUGACGGGACAGGGAGCCAGGUCUGCGUCUUUGAUGUUUCGGUUCAAGUGCAGAGGAAGGAAGUGCAAACGGUGGAAUCGGCGGUGGAUACGGGCAGUUAGCGGACCUCCUGGUAACACCGCAACUCCUUUGGCCGUGCGUUUGAAUUUGCCUCGCUGCUGCUACUACUACAGGAUUUAUUUGUAUCGGGGAGGGGGGGGGGCUCCUAACGUUCUAUGUUAGAGGACCCCAGCAGUUGUGCCUAGCGCAGACGUCUCUGUUCAACUCUACGCAACUUCCUCAGUUGCAACUCACACGGCCUCAGUGCAACUCUUCCACACAACCUCGGUGCAACUCCACGUUACCUCAGUGCAACUUUACGCAACCUCAGAACACCUUCACGCAACCUUGCUCCAACUCCUCACAACUUCAGUGCAACUCCACACGGCCUCAGUUACAACUCCACACACCCUCGCUGCAACUCCUCCACACAACCUCGGUGCAACUCCACGUAACCUCGGUGCAACUCCACGUAACCUCGGAACAAUUUCAUUCAACCUUGCUCCAACCCCUCGCAGCUCCAGUGCCAUCCGUUGCUUUCAAGUUUGGGACUGGGACUUGGGGGAGGGUUGGGGGGGGGUCUCUAAUUCGCUGUCUUCUAGAAUUCCCAUCCAGCGUCUCUUGACUCAGAACAUUCCCGCCAGAGCUCCUCCAAGCAAGUCUCUCACGUGGUCGCAGCCCCCUACCGCUGUUACAACCCAAGUCCUGGACAGGGGAGGCUUGAGAAAACCAACACCGUCAGGGAGUGUCAAUGUCUCUUGCUACCCACAGCAGCAACAUUAUUACUA
Molecule: non-coding RNA, 13527 nt
Organism: Petromyzon marinus (sea lamprey)
Lineage: Eukaryota; Metazoa; Chordata; Hyperoartia; Petromyzontiformes; Petromyzontidae
Source: RefSeq, a predicted model, not a curated record